CAGAGGGUGCGAGCGUUAAUCGGAAUUACUGGGCGUAAAGCGCGCGUAGGCGGCUUUGCAAGUCGGGUGUGAAAUCCCCAGGCUUAACCUGGGAACUGCAUUCGAGACUGCAUUGCUAGAGUGUGGGAGAGGGAAGUGGAAUUUCCGGUGUAGCGGUGAAAUGCGUAGAUAUCGGAAGGAACAUCAGUGGCGAAAGCGACUUCCUGGACCAAUACUGACGCUCAUGUGCGAAAGCGUGGGGAGCAAACAGGAUUAGAUACCCUGGUAGUCCACGCCAUAAACGAUGACAACUGGAUGUCGGGAGGGUCUGCCUCCCGGUGUCGUAGCUAACGCGUUAAGUUGUCCGCCUGGGGAGUACGGCCGCAAGGUUG
RNAcentral lists this ribosomal RNA (371 nucleotides) under uncultured organism. RNAcentral describes it as "bacterial SSU rRNA". It matches the Rfam family "Bacterial small subunit ribosomal RNA", at positions 526 to 896 of the family's 1533-position model. The record is from RNAcentral.